Molecule: ribosomal RNA, 444 nt
Filed under: uncultured Chitinophagaceae bacterium
Lineage: Bacteria; Pseudomonadati; Bacteroidota; Chitinophagia; Chitinophagales; Chitinophagaceae
Description: bacterial SSU rRNA
Rfam family: Bacterial small subunit ribosomal RNA
Source: RNAcentral
GGGCGGCGACCGGCAAACGGGUGCGGAACACGUACGCAAUCUACCCAGAACUGGGGCAUAGCCCGGGGAAACCCGGAUUAAUACCCCGUAACAUAAUUGAAGUGGCAUCACUUUAUUAUAAAAGCUCCGGCGGUUUUGGAUGAGCGUGCGGCUGAUUAGGUAGUUGGUGCGGGUAACGGCCCACCAAGCCUUCGAUCAGUAACUGGUGUGAGAGCACGACCAGUCACACGGGCACUGAGACACGGGCCCGACUCCUACGGGAGGCAGCAGUAAGGAAUAUUGGUCAAUGGACGCAAGUCUGAACCAGCCAUGCCGCGUGGAGGAUGAAGGCCCUCUGGGUUGUAAACUUCUUUUAUCUGGGACGAAACACUCUUAUUCUUAAGAGCUUGACGGUACCAGAGGAAUAAGCACCGGCUAACUCCGUGCCAGCAGCCGCGGUAAUAC